GAUGAACGCUGGCGGCGUGCCUAAUACAUGCAAGUCGAGCGAACAGACGAGGAGCUUGCUCCUCUGACGUUAGCGGCGGACGGGUGAGUAACACGUGGAUAACCUACCUAUAAGACUGGUAUAACUUCGGGAAACCGGAGCUAAUACCGUAUAAUAUAUUGAACCGCAUUGUUCAAUAGUGAAAUACGGUUUUGCUGUCACUUAUAGAUGGUUCCGCGCCGCAUGAGCGAGUUGGUAAGGUAACGGCUUACCAAGGCAACGAUGCGUAGCCGACCUGAGAGGGUGAUAGGCCGCACUGGAAGUGAGACAGGGUCCAGACUCCUACGGGAGGCAGCAGUAGGGAAUCUUACGCAGUAGGCGGAAGUCUGACGGAGCAACGCCGCGUGAGUGAUGAAGGUCUUCGGAUCGUAAAACUCUGUUACUAGGGAAGAACAAAUGUGUAAGUAACUAUGCACGUCUUGACGGUAACUAAUAAGAAAGCCACGGCUAACUACGUG
This 497-nucleotide ribosomal RNA is filed under the name uncultured bacterium. Its description in RNAcentral is "partial 16S ribosomal RNA". It matches the Rfam family "Bacterial small subunit ribosomal RNA", at positions 28 to 507 of the family's 1533-position model. The record is from RNAcentral.